Molecule: ribosomal RNA, 133 nt
Filed under: Plumbago zeylanica
Lineage: Eukaryota; Viridiplantae; Streptophyta; Magnoliopsida; Caryophyllales; Plumbaginaceae
Description: 5.8S ribosomal RNA
Source: RNAcentral
AACGCAAGUUGCGCCCGAAGCCUUCUGGCCGAGGGCACGUCUGCCUGGGCGUCAUGCAUCGCGUCGCCACCCCACCCACCCUAACCCGGUGGGGCGAGGGGGCGCAAUGUGGCCCUCCGUGCACCCGGAUGCG